Molecule: transfer RNA, 82 nt
Filed under: Herbaspirillum sp.
Lineage: Bacteria; Pseudomonadati; Pseudomonadota; Betaproteobacteria; Burkholderiales; Oxalobacteraceae
Description: tRNA-Leu
Rfam family: tRNA
About the family: Transfer RNA (tRNA) molecules are approximately 80 nucleotides in length. Their secondary structure includes four short double-helical elements and three loops (D, anti-codon, and T loops). Further hydrogen bonds mediate the characteristic L-shaped molecular structure. tRNAs have two regions of fundamental functional importance: the anti-codon, which is responsible for specific mRNA codon recognition, and the 3' end, to which the tRNAs corresponding amino acid is attached (by aminoacyl-tRNA synthetases). tRNAs cope with the degeneracy of the genetic code in two manners: having more than one tRNA (with a specific anti-codon) for a particular amino acid; and 'wobble' base-pairing, i.e. permitting non-standard base-pairing at the 3rd anti-codon position.
Source: RNAcentral
GGCAGGAUGGCAGAGUGGUCUAAGGAGCUGGUUUUAGGCACCAGUCACUUAAGUGGGGUGGGUUCGAGUCCCACUGCUGUCA